This 295-nucleotide ribosomal RNA is filed under the name uncultured bacterium. RNAcentral describes it as "partial 16S ribosomal RNA". It matches the Rfam family "Bacterial small subunit ribosomal RNA", at positions 335 to 627 of the family's 1533-position model. The record is from RNAcentral.
GUCCCUACGGGGGGCAGCAGUGAGGAAUAUUGGUCAAUGGGCGGAAGCCUGAACCAGCCAAGUCGCGUGAGGGAAUAAGGCCCUACGGGUCGUAAACCUCUUUUGCCGGGGAGCAAUGGCCGGGACGCGUCCCGGCCCGGAGAGUACCCGGAGAAAAAGCAUCGGCUAACUCCGUGCCAGCAGCCGCGGUAAUACGGAGGAUGCGAGCGUUAUCCGGAUUUAUUGGGUUUAAAGGGUGCGUAGGCGGAAUAUCAAGUCAGCGGUAAACAUUCGGGGUUAAACCCCGUCGUGCCGU